AUCUCGUAUUUGCCCAACUCGUCCGGGUCGACGGUCUCGAGCCAGCGCCGCAGCCGUUCGGUCUGCUCCGAGCUGCCCUCGUCGCUCGAGGACGAGGACUUGUCCAGCACCUCCUGCUCGACGAAGAUCGGAGCGCUGGCCCGCAAUGCCAGGGCCAUCGCAUCGCUCGGGCGGGCAUCGACCUUGUGGGUCUCCCCUCCUUGCGCCAGAUGAAUCGUCGCAAAGAAGGUGUUGUCCUUCAGGUC
This 245-nucleotide ribosomal RNA is filed under the name uncultured eukaryote. RNAcentral's name for it is "partial small subunit ribosomal RNA". The record is from RNAcentral.